ACUAUGAGAACAGCAGAUGGAUCAUGGUUAGGAUUGGAAAUGUCCCAAAUCAAGAAGCAUAAUCUUCAGUGGUGAAAACUAUCUACACAUACAGGAGGAGGGGGGAAGAGAGUUGCUACCGUACCUCCACAUAGUACACAGAUGAGAGGAGUGAGCCUCCCAGAAGAGUUAGAAGGCAGGUGACAGAAGGCAGUUUCUCACAGCCCAGUCCAUCCUACCCACUCUGUGAAAGAAAUGGGAGGGUCUGCUUCUCUACAAAGGAGGAAGAGAAGAAACACAUGCGUAUGUGUUGGGAGGGAUGGGGGUAGCCUUCGUAGCCCAAUCCUCAUUCCUCUGAAGGAAGUUACUUGAUUACAAAGGCUCAGUUUAAAACAA
Mauremys reevesii (Reeves's turtle) is the source of this 375-nucleotide long non-coding RNA. RefSeq lists it as uncharacterized. The record is from RefSeq and is a predicted model, not a curated record. The transcript is spliced from 3 exons. Lineage: Eukaryota; Metazoa; Chordata; Testudines; Geoemydidae.